Molecule: ribosomal RNA, 289 nt
Filed under: uncultured bacterium
Lineage: Bacteria
Description: partial 16S ribosomal RNA
Rfam family: Bacterial small subunit ribosomal RNA
Source: RNAcentral
GUGGAUUAGAUACCCUGGUAGUCCACGCCCUAAACGAUGUCAACUAGGUGUUGGGGAAGCGAUUUCCUAGUACCGCAGCUAACGCGUGAAGUUGACCGCCUGGGGAGUACGGUCGCAAGAUUAAAACUCAAAGGAAUUGACGGGGACCCGCACAAGCGGUGGAUGAUGUGGAUUAAUUCGAUGCAACGCGAAAAACCUUACCUACCCUUGACAUGUACGGAAGCCUUCAGAAAUGAGGGUGUGCUCGAAAGAGAGCCGUAACACAGGUGCUGCACGGCCGUCGCCAACU